UGAAGAGGACGUUUAACUGACACGCCAAAUUGAGCAAAUAUAAGUCAUGUUACAAAAAACACAUUUGAAAAACUCAAUAGCAAUAUUUCUUUAUAGAAAUGAUGACUGACUUAAUCAAACAGACCUGGCUGUGAGCAGUUUCAUGAGGGAACUGCUUUUUUCUACCGAACUGCAUCCCCCAACUGUAUCGCCGCACAGGAGGAAACGACUAGGCUAGUUUGCCUAGCUAACUAAGCUAGCAUGAUGUAAACAUUAAUGUCAUCAUCGCUGGCUUUAGCUUUAAAGUUAGCUCCAUUAAGUAGUCUCCAGUUCACCAGUAGAACUCAGGCUUUCUUUAGCGCUGAGAUACAUUAGCUAGCUUUCUUAAGUUAGUUUGCUAGCCUCUUGUUGCUCGCUUCUUGCGCAGUGAUACAGUUGGUGGUCUGUAGGCUAGCUUGACAGACAGAAAAUCCAAGAUAGCACACAUACGUCUUGCAGACAUCGAAUGAAUUGAAGUUACGUUAGGAAGACGUGGUAUGGGGAAUGUUUGCUAAUUGGGAAGACGAGCUCGCACUGACAUCUGCUAGAUGUACAUAUGUGUGGUUCUGAGGGUAGGUCCUAUGUGAAACUGCUCAAAACAAGAUCUGUGGAUUUUCUUGAGUAACCAAGUCGUGACUUCUGUUAAGAGACAUUGCUGCUGAGUUUUUCAAUUGUCUUUUCUGGUGAGACACCACAAGACAAGUGCCAUCUAGUUCCAUUAUUUUUAAGGGAAGGCAGAAAUCUCUAUGGCCUGAUCUCCAAAAGUAAGCAACUCUCACCAAAACAACCUAGAUGGAUAAAUGGCUCUACAGAGACAACUUACUUGUAUUUGCGGGUGAAGCACCUUGAAACCGAUCCGUGCUCAUCCUGCCUUUCUUCAUGAUUUCCUUGUGAGGAACAUAAAAAAUAAUGAAAACAAUGUCGAGAAAAUGACACUUUGACCCUGAGGUGAGAAGUGAUUGACGUCCAGGUUAAUCUUCCAGCGGUCCUGCCCUGUCCUGAUCUCUGACACCCCACUUGUCUGUUGCCUGUUUUGGUUCAACGCCGCAGGGUGCUGACCACUGAAUGGAGGCAGAAGAGGAG
Acanthopagrus latus (yellowfin seabream) is the source of this 1101-nucleotide long non-coding RNA. RefSeq lists it as uncharacterized. The transcript is spliced from 3 exons. Lineage: Eukaryota; Metazoa; Chordata; Actinopteri; Spariformes; Sparidae. The record is from RefSeq and is a predicted model, not a curated record.